UGUUUGGGCGUGCGAGCGCAGGCGGUUUUUUAAGUCUGAUGUGAAAGCCCUCGGCUUAACCGAGGAAGCGCAUCGGAAACUGGGAAACUUGAGUGCAGAAGAGGACAGUGGAACUCCAUGUGUAGCGGUGAAAUGCGUAGAUAUAUGGAAGAACACCAGUGGCGAAGGCGGCUGUCUGGUCUGUAACUGACGCUGAGGCUCGAAAGCAUGGGUAGCGAACAGGAUUAGAUACCCUGGUAGUCCAUGCCGUAAACGAUGAAUGCUAGGUGUUGGAGGGUUUCCGCCCUUCAGUGCCGCAGCUAACGCAUUAAGCAUUCCGCCUGGGGAGUACGACCGCAAGGUUGAAACUCAAAGGAAUUGACGGGGGCCCGCACAAGCGGUGGAGCAUGUGGUUUAAUUCGAAGCAACGCGAAGAACCUUACCAGGUCUUGACAUCUUUUGAUCACCUGAGAGAUCAGGUUUCCCCUUCGGGGGCAAAAUGACAGGUGGUGCAUGGUUGUCGUCAGCUCGUGUCGUGAGAUGUUGGGUUAAGUCCCGCAACGAGCGCAACCCUUAUGACUAGUUGCCAGCAUUGAGUUGGGCACUCUAGUAAGACUGCCGGUGACAAACCGGAGGAAGGUGGGGAUGACGUCAAAUCAUCAUGCCCCUUAUGACCUGGGCUACACACGUGCUACAAUGGAUGGUACAACGAGUUGCGAGACCGCGAGGUCAAGCUAAUCUCUUAAAGCCAUUCUCAGUUCGGACUGUAGGCUGCAACUCGCCUACACGAAGUCGGAAUCGCUAGUAAUCGCGGAUCAGCACGCCGCGGUGAAUACGUUCCCGGGCCUUGUACACACCGCCCGUCACACCAUGAGAGUUUGUAACACCCGAAGCCGGUGGCGUAACCCUUUUAGGGAGCGAGCCGUCUAAGGACAAAUGAUUUGAAGUCGUACGGGGUAACCGUAA
RNAcentral lists this ribosomal RNA (945 nucleotides) under Lacticaseibacillus casei. RNAcentral's name for it is "bacterial SSU rRNA". It matches the Rfam family "Bacterial small subunit ribosomal RNA", at positions 547 to 1505 of the family's 1533-position model. Lineage: Bacteria; Bacillati; Bacillota; Bacilli; Lactobacillales; Lactobacillaceae. The record is from RNAcentral.